UGCAGCAGCCCAGACCUGGGAGGAGUAGGCGGCGGGACCCAGGAGGCUUGGGGUGGCAUCAGGAAGCAGGAUGGGCCUGGCUACCUCCUAGAUUGAUUUUCUACACCUCCAGGCUUUCCCCUUUGCUUUCCCCUCCGUCGUGAAGAUAAUCAGGUGGGGAGAGAAGUCAGAGCUGGGACCUUCCAGUGAGAGGUCCAGGGAUGGAUCUGAUACCAGGAGGACAAUAUCACAAAGUGUUCUGCCAGUUUCAAUAACUGGAUUUAUGAGGAGAAAACGGCGUGAGGACGGUCUGGGAAGUGGUGACGUCGGAAGUCAGGAAGGCAGCUGGCAGUGUGUGCUCCUCCCUGGACGGCCCCUUCGUCAUCCAAAUUGGCAGGUGCUCCCGGAAGAGCGGUCAGGCUGUGAGAGAAACCGCUUCAUUCCCUGGAAUGUGGGGAAGAGAGUGGAGGUUUAAUGUGUAAUUUGCAGUCCUUAGAAUCCAUUAUGGGCAUGAAUAAGCCCAGAGAGGCUAUAGGCGGGAGAAUUAAACAUGAAUGCUCAUCGAGACUGAGGCACUGGAGACUGAGAAGAAGUUCAGUUGCCAACAUCUUUCACUUUGGGUAUUCACUCUGAAGUCACUUGGCCAAAGCCACCUGAGGUCAGUUGAUGAAAGGCCCUGGAAGGUAAUGUAAUGCCACAAAGAUUUCUCACAAUGGAAAAAUCAGGUUUGGCACCGGUGAGCUGUGAAUUCUUCUGAGGUGGUAAACCUGGACUCUCCACAGCUCUUUGAGAGCUGGAGGCUAAGAAAAUCUGAGAAUGGGGUUUAUGUCAGCCCUCCUUGCUGUGAAGGAACUUGGGCCUUUUGGCGUUGAGUGCACAGUGGAGUCAGAGGAGAGGAUGUGGUGGGGGCAGCGGCACACACAGUUGACUGCCAUGGAGAGGAGAACUGCCUUUGGAAGCAUCUGGAGGCAUUUGGUUGGAUUUAGUGGUGUGCCUGCAUUUAUUAUUAAUCAUGGUGACUCUGCUUUGUGUUUUUCACAGUGCAUUCUUGUAGAUCUGACUUGAUUUUCAUAAUAUAAAAUAUUUUCCACGACUUUAUUGAAUUUUAAUUUUGGCAGUGUUUGCCAGUGUUUGAACAACUGCUCAGCCUCAUGGGAGGGAUGGUUUUAUAAGCUUGUGGAGGAAGCUAAGUGUGUUUACAAGCCGUGGUAGCACAUUUAAGAGUCAGGCAUGGACUCCUCCAGUCCUGACGGGGGCGCUGUGGGGCAAUGGUGGGCUGAAUGUGGCCCAGUCAUAGUCCCACGUGAGACCACAGUAGAUGCCAUUGUGGAAGCUUAGCUCCCACUCCACCUUGGAGGUGUCAAGGCCUUGUUUUUUGUUCCAGGAUCUAUGUGUAAUUAGAGCAGGAGACCCUUUUACUUGAGAACUGUUGUCUUUGCUGUGUGAUCUUUGGUAGGUUAUUUAAGCUCUCCAGUCCUUAGUUCUCAUUUGUGAGAUGAGAUAAUAAUAGCAUCGAUCUCAGGGAAUUGUGUGAAGGUUAAUUGAGUUAAUACAUUUUUAAAAAGAGAGAACACUCAAUGGGUAUUAACUAUUAUGACGACAAGAGUAUUAAUGACCACUCAUAUUGGACUUCAUAGAUGGAGGAAGCCCAGGCUGGUUGGAGAGCUUGCCUGUCUCCCAGCAAGGUUUUAACAAAUCUAACAAAUCCCCAUUCUCUACCUGGGUGGCCUUGCCAGGGACGUGGUGACAAGCAUAAAGGGGAGGAGCUAUGGUUCUUCAGGAAGGUGCUGAUGGAAGGAUAACCAGUACUGUGCUUUUAUGAAAUAGCAAGCCAAAAUGGGGAACUUGACCUAGAGAAUUUGAUUAACCUCUUCAACUACAUCAAAGGCAGCAGAGAAGCAACUUCUCUCGUGGGAUGCUAAGAACUGAAAGAGUGUGUGCUGCCCUCUAACUCUUGGCCCUGGCACUUACCAGCUGUAUAACCAGGGCCAGUUACUUAAUCUCUCUGCACCUUAGUUUCCUCAUCUGUCAAUGGGAAUGAUACUAUUUUAUAGGGUUGUUGCAGUUACUAAAUCAGGUGAUAUCUGUAGAAUGCCUAGCAAGUUGUUAAAUUCUUGGAGCCAGGUGAAGGCUCAGUAAAAGCCAAUCAUUAUGCUCAUUAUUAUGUUUAUUACAAAUGCUCUUAUUACAAGCUACCUUACAGCUUAUGAUUUACAACUGAGGAAACAGGUUAUUUCAUGACAGGACUUGUCCUGUGAUAGUUCUCUUCCUCACCAUGAAAGAUGUCAACAGCACUCAUCGGGAUUCCCCCACCUUGGCUGGACCUAUCUUCUGGCCUUGGUGGUUGCCCAUGUGAAGAUUGGGAGAAGGUGAUGCCCUCCUGGUUGCACAAGGGCUGGGUCUAAGUCAUCCGGUCUCUGUGUGUAUCUACAGCCCUAGGAAUGGGGAAUAGCUCCUGGCUCCUAUUGCAUGAUCAGGGAUUUUGAGGAUAUUUGAGGUGUCCAGACUCAAACCUUCCUUGUCAUUACCUCCUUAAUAGGUUUUUCCCUCUACCUAACAAUUCUUCUUUCUCAGCUUCUCUUGAACGUGUCCCUCUUUUCCAUGGCCUCAGUUGCCUCUCACUCCCUGCCUACAGACUCCUCUGGCUUUGCCCUCUUCUGUACCCUCCCUGGAAUUGUUUUUGCCUCUCCAGCCCCGGCUCCCCAUUCCUCGGAUGACAGCACCAGACUUUCCUAUGGGGAUGGAUACAUUAGGAAUGCGUUCAGCUGUAAAUGAUAAGAAAGCUGAUGCAGAGUGGCUGCAACGUAAAGAUUUAUUUCAUUCACAUAGCACUAAUUCUGAAGGUAGGUGGUUGCCUGCUUUGAUUCAGCGUUUCUCUCCUCAUGCUUGCAGCUCUAAGCAUCACAUCUGCACUCAAGGCAGGAUGAAGGAAGGGAAGG
This 2918-nucleotide long non-coding RNA is filed under the name Homo sapiens (human). RNAcentral describes it as "HSALNT0211261". The record is from RNAcentral. Lineage: Eukaryota; Metazoa; Chordata; Mammalia; Primates; Hominidae.